This 451-nucleotide ribosomal RNA is filed under the name uncultured bacterium. RNAcentral describes it as "bacterial SSU rRNA". It matches the Rfam family "Bacterial small subunit ribosomal RNA", at positions 328 to 793 of the family's 1533-position model. The record is from RNAcentral.
UCGCCAGACUCCUACGGGAGGCAGCAGUGGGGAAUAUUGGGCAAUGGGCGCAAGCCUGACCCAGCAACGCCGCGUGAGUGAAGAAGUAUUUCGGUAUGUAAAUCUCUGUCAGCAGGGAAGAAAGCAAUGACGGUACCUGACCAAGAAGCCCCGGCUAACUACGUGCCAGCAGCCGCGGUAAUACGUAGGGGGCAAGCGUUAUCCGGAAUUACUGGGUGUAAAGGGAGCGUAGACGGCUGUGCAAGUCUGGAGUGAAAGGCGGGGGCCCAACCCCCGGACUGCUCUGGAAACUGUAUGGCUGGAGUGCAGGAGAGGUAAGCGGAAUUCCUAGUGUAGCGGUGAAAUGCGUAGAUAUUAGGAGGAACACCAGUGGCGAAGGCGGCUUACUGGACUGUAACUGACGUUGAGGCUCGAAAGCGUGGGGAGCAAACAGGAUUAGAUACCCGUGUAA